Molecule: ribosomal RNA, 443 nt
Filed under: uncultured bacterium
Lineage: Bacteria
Description: partial 16S ribosomal RNA
Rfam family: Bacterial small subunit ribosomal RNA
Source: RNAcentral
CCUACGGGAGGCAGCAGUGGGGAAUAUUGGGCAAUGGAGGAAACUCUGACCCAGCAAUGCCGCGUGAAUGAAGAAGGUCUUCGGAUUGUAAAGUUCUUUAGUCAGGGAAGAAUAAAAUGACGGUACCUGAAGAAUAAGCUCCGGCUAACUACGUGCCAGCAGCCGCGGUAAUACGUAGGUGGCAAGCGUUAUCCGGAUUUAUUGGGUGUAAAGGGCGUGUAGGCGGGAAAGCAAGUCAGAUGUGAAAACUCAGGGCUCAACCCUGAGCCUGCAUUUGAAACUGUUUUUCUUGAGUGCUGGAGAGGCAAUCGGAAUGCCGUGUGUAGCGGUGAAAUGCGUAGAUAUACGGAGGAACACCAGUGGCGAAGGCGGAUUGCUGGACAGUAACUGACGCUGAGGCGCGAAAGCGUGGGGAGCAAACAGGAUUAGAUACCCUUGUAGUC